This 433-nucleotide ribosomal RNA is filed under the name uncultured bacterium. Its description in RNAcentral is "partial 16S ribosomal RNA". It matches the Rfam family "Bacterial small subunit ribosomal RNA", at positions 29 to 507 of the family's 1533-position model. The record is from RNAcentral.
AACGAACGCUGGCGGCAUGCCUAACACAUGCAAGUCGAACGAUGCUUUCGGGCAUAGUGGCGCACGGGUGCGUAACGCGUGGGAAUCUGCCCUUGGGUUCGGAAUAACAGUGAGAAAUUGCUGCUAAUACCGGAUGAUGUCUUCGGACCAAAGAUUUAUCGCCCAGGGAUGAGCCCGCGUAGGAUUAGCUAGUUGGUGGGGUAAUGGCCUACCACGGCGACGAUCCUUAGCUGGUCUGAGAGGAUGAUCAGCCACACUGGGACUGAGACACGGCCCAGACUCCUACGGGAGGCAGCAGUGGGGAAUAUUGGACAAUGGGCGCAAGCCUGAUCCAGCAAUGCCGCGUGAGUGAUGAAGGCCUUAGGGUUGUAAAGCUCUUUUACCCGGGAUGAUAAUGACAGUACCGGGAGAAUAAGCUCCGGCUAACUCCGUG